RNAcentral lists this long non-coding RNA (1064 nucleotides) under Homo sapiens (human). RNAcentral describes it as "HSALNT0342960". Lineage: Eukaryota; Metazoa; Chordata; Mammalia; Primates; Hominidae. The record is from RNAcentral.
AUCACAAGUUCAUGAGAUCGAGACCAUCUUGGCCAACAUGUGUGAGGGUUCUCCAGCACCUAGACUGUGUCCCAGUGCCUGGCUACUGCUUCAAGGACCAUGAAGUCGAUGACACCACGAGGAUAAGGACUGAGUCUGUUUUCCUCAAUCCUGCGUUCCCAGUGAUUAUAAGAGUGUCUGGCACAUAGGAGGAUCUCAAUCAAUAUUUGUGCAAUGAAGAAAUGAGGGACUUAAGGUGUACAGAUGACCGAGAAGCAAGGCUGAGAGAGGUGGAAGCACUCACCCAAAGUUACACAGCCAGGAAAAGACAGAGCCAGGCUGUACUGCAAAGUCAGUUAGUGACCCUGAGGCUGACAGUAACUUGGGGAGAUUCAGCUUAGAUGACAGGGAUGCUGGUUUCUGCAGCAGCCUCUCUGCAACCUGAGGGCAGCAAUGCCGACAGGCAGCAAGCUGCAGGCACACUUGACAGAUGUGAAGAUCUGGGUUCUGGGGAUGCUGUUGAGCUGCUCGAUGAGCCCACUUUGGACCUGCCCUACCGCCAGACUUUUUGUGAUCCAAGUGCAAGGAAAUUACAGGGCUAUCAACUCUAUCUCUUUCCAAGACCAGAAAGUCGGCAGAUGGAGAACGGUUUCUAGAUGGGGAGGGAAUCUGCCUUUGGAACUUUUAGCGACCUGGUAUGGUUCAACAUUCCAUCACUAUGCAAAAAUAAAUAAAUAAAUUGCAGACCAACGUACAAAGGAAAGCAGCAAAGUUACUCUUCGCGGGGACGGUUGUGAACAAGGUAACAUCUUAGAGACAGACCCCGGGGUCUGUAGCUUUGCAUUAAAGCCAUAGUCUCUAACUGGAGGCAGCAAAAUGUUCUUCCGCCCCACUGGGGUGAACCUGGAAUGUGGAAGGACGGGAAAUAAUACAAAGUCACACGCUUUAGGUUCUACAACUCCUGACUGGCUGAAUUGGCCCGUCGAUUUACCUUGAGGCAGUUUUGGCGGGGUGGGGGCUGGGAUGGGGGAGGCGGUUGUAGUUUUCAAGGUGAAUUUACACACACACACACACACACACACACA